ACGGGAGGCAGCAGUGGGGAAUAUUGGACAAUGGGCGAAAGCCUGAUCCAGCGACGCCGCGUGAGUGAAGAAGUAUUUCGGUAUGUAAAGCUCUAUCAGCAGGGAAGAUAAUGACGGUACCUGACUAAGAAGCCCCGGCUAACUACGUGCCAGCAGCCUCGGUAAUACGUAGGGGGCAAGCGUUAUCCGGAUUUACUGGGUGUAAAGAGAGCGUAGACGGCAUGGCAAGUCUGAUGUGAAAACCCAGGGCUCAACCCUGGGACUGCAUUGGAAACUGUCAGGCUAGAGUGCAGGAGAGGUAAGUGGAAUUCCUAGUGUAGCGGUGAAAUGCGUAGAUAUUAGGAGGAACACCAGUGGCGAAGGCGGCUUACUGGACUGUAACUGACGUUGAGGCUCGAAAGCGUGGGGAGCAAACAGGAUUAGAUACCCUGGUA
This 434-nucleotide ribosomal RNA is filed under the name uncultured Lachnospiraceae bacterium. RNAcentral's name for it is "partial 16S ribosomal RNA". It matches the Rfam family "Bacterial small subunit ribosomal RNA", at positions 341 to 792 of the family's 1533-position model. The record is from RNAcentral. Lineage: Bacteria; Bacillati; Bacillota; Clostridia; Lachnospirales; Lachnospiraceae.